This 393-nucleotide long non-coding RNA is filed under the name Brassica napus (rape). RNAcentral's name for it is "long non-coding RNA (BNAP_LNC006706)". Lineage: Eukaryota; Viridiplantae; Streptophyta; Magnoliopsida; Brassicales; Brassicaceae. The record is from RNAcentral.
UUUGUUUUUCUAGGAUUUAGACUGUUCAAAACACUAGUCACGGCUCUCGAUCUCUCUUUCUCUCUUAUCAAAAACAAAAAAACUUUCAGAGAGUUUAGAGAUCGUAUCGAGAGUGAGAGCGUCUUGUUUUCUUUGGGUUCCGUCGCAGUCUUCUUCUGACGGAUCGCCUCCGGUAUACAGCGGUCCCCUCGACGUGUAUAGCUGGCUUUUGAUUCUGGCGUCGCACCUUCUUCUUCGGUGGACGGCCGGCUUUUGUCUCCGGCGUCCUCGCCCCUUCUCAGGUGAUUGGACGGCCGGCUUUAGAUUCCGCCUCGAUCUUUUCUCUAAUGUUGUUGUCGGUUCUUCACCGAGGUUUCUCGGUUCAAGUCGAUCAACGUUUCUUGUGGUUUCCCG